This 440-nucleotide ribosomal RNA is filed under the name uncultured bacterium. RNAcentral's name for it is "partial 16S ribosomal RNA". It matches the Rfam family "Bacterial small subunit ribosomal RNA", at positions 338 to 795 of the family's 1533-position model. The record is from RNAcentral.
CCUACGGGAGGCAGCAGUGGGGAAUAUUGCACAAUGGGGGAAACCCUGAUGCAGCGACGCCGCGUGAGUGAAGAAGUAUUUCGGUAUGUAAAGCUCUAUCAGCGGGGAAGAGAAUGACGGUUACCGAGUAAGAAGCCUCGGCUAACGACGUGCCAGGAGCCGCGGUAAUACGUAGGGGGCAAGCGUUAACCGGAUUUACUGGGUGUAAAGGGAGGGUAGACGGCGAAGAAAGUCUGAAGUGAAAGCCCGGGGCUCAACCGCGGAACUGCUUUGGAAACUUUUUUGCUGGAGUACCGGAGAGGUAAGCGGAAUUCCUAGUGUAGCGGUGAAAUGCGUAGAUAUUAGGAGGAACACCAGUGGCGAAGGCGGCUUACUGGACGGUAACUGACGUUGAGGCUCGAAAGCGUGGGGAGCAAACAGGAUUAGAUACCCCAGUAGUC